CCUACGGGAGGCAGCAGUGGGGAAUUUUGGACAAUGGGCGCAAGCCUGAUCCAGCAAUGCCGCGUGAGUGAAGAAGGCCUUCGGGUUGUAAAGCUCUUUUGUCAGGGAAGAAACGGUGGGGGCUAAUAUCUCCUACUAAUGACGGUACCUGAAGAAUAAGCACCGGCUAACUACGUGCCAGCAGCCGCGGUAAUACGUAGGGUGCAAGCGUUAAUCGGAAUUACUGGGCGUAAAGCGUGCGCAGGCGGUUUUGUAAGUCUGUCGUGAAAGCCCCGGGCUCAACCUGGGAAUUGCGAUGGAGACUGCAAGGCUUGAAUCUGGCAGAGGGGGGUAGAAUUCCACGUGUAGCAGUGAAAUGCGUAGAGAUGUGGAGGAACACCGAUGGCGAAGGCAGCCCCCUGGGUCAAGAUUGACGCUCAUGCACGAAAGCGUGGGGAGCAAACAGGAUUAGAUACCCUGGUAGUCCACGCCCUAAACGAUGUCUACUAGUUGUCGGGUUUUAAUUAACUUGGUAACGCAGCUAACGCGUGAAGUAGACCGCCUGGGGAAUACGGUCGCAAGNUUAAAACNAAAGAUGAGNGNGAGAGNGCGAGACGACGACGAGGAGGAGG
This 611-nucleotide ribosomal RNA is filed under the name uncultured bacterium. RNAcentral describes it as "bacterial SSU rRNA". It matches the Rfam family "Bacterial small subunit ribosomal RNA", at positions 338 to 941 of the family's 1533-position model. The record is from RNAcentral.